RNAcentral lists this ribosomal RNA (878 nucleotides) under bacterium enrichment culture clone 80TP. RNAcentral describes it as "bacterial SSU rRNA". It matches the Rfam family "Bacterial small subunit ribosomal RNA", at positions 11 to 910 of the family's 1533-position model. The record is from RNAcentral.
GAUUGAUCAUGGCUCAGGAUGAACGCUGGCGGCGUGCCUAACACAUGCAAGUCGAACUAACCUGAUCUUCGGAAAGGGUUAGUGGCGGAUGGGUGAGUAACACGUAGGUGACCUACCCUGGCGAGGGGGAUAACUGCUGGAAACGGUAGCUAAUACCCCGUACGAUCACCGGAUCGGACUGGUGAUGAAAGGCGAAAGCCGUGCUGGGAGGGGCCUGCGGCCCAUCAGGUAGUUGGUGGGGUAACGGCCUACCAAGCCGAUGACGGGUAGCUGGUCUGAGAGGAUGGUCAGCCACACUGGAACUGAAACACGGUCCAGACUCCUACGGGAGGCAGCAGUGAGGAAUAUUGCGCAAUGGGCGAAAGCCUGACGCAGCAACGCCGCGUGGGUGAAGAAGGCCUUCGGGUCGUAAAGCCCUUUCCUGAGGGAAGAGGAAGGACGGUACCUCAGGAAUAAGUCUCGGCUAACUACGUGCCAGCAGCCGCGGUAAAACGUAGGAGGCGAGCGUUAUUCGGAUUUACUGGGCGUAAAGCGCAUGCAGGUGGCCAUGCAAGUGGGAUGUGAAAGCCCUUGGCUUAACUGGGGGAGGUCGUACCAAACUGCAUGGCUGGAGGUCGGGAGAGGAAAGCGGAAUUCCCGGUGUAGUGGUGGAAUGCGUAGAUAUCGGGAGGAACACCAGUGGCGAAAGCGGCUUUCUGGCCCGCACCUGACACUAAGAUGCGAAAGCGUGGGGAGCGAAUGGGAUUAGAUACCCCGGUAGUCCACGCUGUAAACGACGGGUACUGGGUAUCGGCGGUAUUGACCCCGUCGGUGCCGAAGCCAACGCGUUAAGUACCCCGCCUGGGGACUACGGCCGCAAGGUUAAAACUCAAAGGAAU